Rosa rugosa (rugosa rose) is the source of this 2502-nucleotide long non-coding RNA. RefSeq lists it as uncharacterized. The record is from RefSeq and is a predicted model, not a curated record. NCBI's taxonomy places the organism in Eukaryota, Viridiplantae, Streptophyta, Magnoliopsida, Rosales, Rosaceae. The transcript is spliced from 4 exons.
UCUGAUUUGCCAUUUUGGAUUUAGAUAAGGAUAUGCUAUUGUUUUUCUCUGUGGCUUUUAUUUGUUGAUUUUUGUUUUUCCAAUUUCUAGUCAGAUUUCUUCUUUAAUACUGAGCAGUUGGUUACAGAAGCAACAUAAACCAGGUUAUUAGACAUAUUGUUGAUACUAUCUGUAAUGUACCAUGAGACUAUCUGAAAAUGUUUACUUUUUCUCAAAUGCUAGUGUUAUUACUAAUAUGUUUGCCUUGUUUACGGUGAUCUCAUGAGGAAUUUUCUUAGUGGUAAUAUACUGAGUGAAUGGGCUUCUACAAAGUUGGAAUAUAUGUCCUUUAAUGUGUACAACUUAACUAGACCAAUCUCUGCCUUCUUGGGACACAUCAGCACUCUAAAAUACUUGAACUUGAGACUAACAUGUUUUCUGGAACUGUUCCUCCUGAGCUUGGGAAAUUGGUUAACUUGCAGAAUCUAAAACUCCAAAGGACAAGAAAGCAACUUUACUGGUCCAUGGGUUUGUAGAUAAGGUAUUGUACCUUAAUUACUACCAGUGAUUAUUAUUUUGUUUUGGCUGAAGAAAGUGUAGUAUUUAUCAGAUGUAUUGGAGAAACGUUAAUGACCUACAUCGGUAUAAAUCAGAAUGUUUAGGUGCAGUUGGUUUAUUUUCUUUACAGAGUGAUAUUAUCUAUUCAUUUGUACUACAGGUUAUUUCAGGUGUCUUGGACAUUCUAAAUCUUCAGAUUCCUUCAUUUGUUCGGAUAGAUCUUUUUCAUAUCAUUCUAACUCAAGCGUUGAGUAUAGGUAAUCUAAAUUCAUGCUUAUUUAAAUAGUUUGUACUUGGGUGUAGAGACCGAAACAUGCAUGCUUGUAUUGUAUCUGAAGUAGACGCUUUGUGUACUUUUGUUCUUUUGGUUCUGAAAUAGAUCAUUGUACAAGUUCUAUAAUUGUUGGGAUGCUUCAACCAAGUUUACUUUGUUAGGAUGCUAUAAAGUCUUAUACAUAUGGGCGGGGGAAAGAGAAAACUCAUUAUCUUUAUUCAUUACCCUACUACAGAAUCAUUCCUUCAGUCUCACUGUCUGUGCUGAUUGGCAUGCUAUAUAUGUAGUAGUCACACCACUUCUGCUCCCAUUUCUGAUUGGCUACUUCUAUCUGGGCUAUGUUGUAUAUAUAAAUCAGGUUGAUAUUCUAACUUUGCUUUUAAAAUCCAAGUUUGUUAUUGUUAUUAUUCUCAUCAUUGUUGGUGUUGGUAUUCGUAUCAGGAUUGAGAUUGUAGUAGCAGCAGUACUAUUACUGUUACACAUACACAUCCUUUUCUAGAUAUGUCUCUCCCCAUGCCCUAUUCUGUUUUCAUAUAUUAAAAUCCAAAAAGAAAGAAAUAGACUCUCUCUGUCUGUUUAUUUUAGUCUUGAGAAGUUCAUUUUUAAAGUCUGAUCUACAUAAAAGCUACAUUCAUCAGUUUCAAGAUGUCAUAAUAUUCGUUUCAGUGCCUCUGAUAUGGCUUCCACAAUGGUCUCUGUCACGCCUCUUCAAGCUUCUAAAACAGUCCCUUGUUGCAGCCAUGCAUUCUCUGUACUGAAUUACUGAUAUCUAUAUAAACAUUUUUCUGGGACUUUUAUCUGUUCUUUCCUAUAGAGUAUGAUUAAAUUCUGGCUACAAUCUCAAAAUAUUUUAUGAGUCAGUAUUUUCUAAAAUUUCUACAUAUCUUCCAUGGUGCUAGUAUCUGAAAUGACAGACAUGCAACCAUGAAUAUGUUAUGUUGCAGAUUGAAGAUGUGUAUGAAAUAGUUUAUGACAUAUGUGGACAGUAUUGGCCAUAUAUACAUCCACCACUAUAUUCUCAUUGCACUCGUUCAUGCUUAUUUAAUGAGUAUUGCAAGACUCGUUUUCCUCCUACAUUCCACCUUUUAUCCAUUCAGGUAUACAUGAUCUAAGAACCUAUAUAUGUAAUUUCGUGAAUUUACUUCAUUUAUAGACCAAGAACUGUAAAUAUAGCAUCUCCAUUAGUGACUAUCUAUUACUAAUAUUGAUUAAAGUGAGAAUAUAUAUGUGUUGCUACUAAUAUUGAUCUCACCUGCAACUUCUGCUCUACUAGAUCGUCCCAUGAAAUAUAGCGCUCAUACUGACGAGUUAAACUUAGUUGUUCAAUAGUAUAUAUUUUGAACUAUGGCAUGUAAAGAUAUUCAGCAAAUAUCUGGUAUGACUUGAGUUAUGUAUGUAGCAAUAAUUUGAAUUAUGUGUCCUACAAACAAUAGUAGUAGUACAUUAAUUGUGUAUGUUGGACUUGUUGUUUUUGCAGAUAUUACUUGUUUUGGAUGGUAUGAAUUGAGUUAUAUAUGUAGCAGCAGCAGCAGCAGCUAGCUUUGAAUUAUGUAGUUAGCUUCAAAUCAGUCAGUCGUAGUAGUACAUUCGAUCUGGUGUCGGACUUGUGGUUUUUACAGACUACUUCUUUUGGAUCUUAGACAUGUAUUGAUGGAUGUUCUAUAUAUAUAUAUAUGGACUUGUUUGAUGUG